Long non-coding RNA from Amphiprion ocellaris (clown anemonefish), 2540 nucleotides. RefSeq lists it as uncharacterized. The transcript is spliced from 5 exons. Lineage: Eukaryota; Metazoa; Chordata; Actinopteri; Pomacentridae. The record is from RefSeq and is a predicted model, not a curated record.
GUCCAUGAGAGGGAAGCUUGGGCUGCUGUGUAAUUUAUAUUGGUGUAUUUAUGUCUUUAAGCGAUAGGCAGGAUAUGUAAUGUGGCCUUUGCGGCAAGGAGUGUUGAAAUAGCCUAAUUGUUUGGUUCAUCAUUAUUCCCUGAAACAUCUUGAGGACACCAGACAGGGAACCAACAUCACUCCUGCAACAUGGCAUAUCGACGUGGUCGAAAAAGUAUUAGAGAGGCAUAUGAAGACCACUUCUCAUCAGCAGACGCAAGAGAGGAGCAGUGGCAGACCUCAUCAUUUCCGCAAAAGAGGUCAAGGGUUAGGCCCUCCUCUGAGGACAGAACAGGACAGAAAAGCCAAGGAAGACCGUGAUGACUACAGGACCUGUCAGCCUCUUGUAAUCACGUGGGACCGCUCUCCUGGAAGGAGGGAAGCCCAGCCAUCUGUAACUAUUCGCUCUGGAUCAAAUACCAACAGAAACUUCUCUCCUGACAGGGACAAAGGCUGUCCAUAUCAGCAGGCACAGCAAAAGCGUACGUAUCAAAGGGGCCGUAUUAUUCGAAAUCCUUAGAUUAGAAAGUGUUCUCUGAAUGAGGUUUGCUCCUCUCUGCCACUAACUGGCCUAACCCCAAUCUCCCCUCUGAGGACUUACCACCUACAGACCAACGUCACAGCUGCAGUGUUCGAGUAAGUGAGUUUGUGAGGGCUAGAAAUGGUACAAAAAGAAAGAAUGGGACACAUGUUCGUGACAGCACACAUUGUUUGCAAACAAUGCAUCACCAUUUAUGAACAAGAUUUAAGACUUGUAUUUCAUUUGCAGUGUUUAUACAUAUUAACUAACUACCAAGAGUCUGAAUAGCCAUGAACAUCUGUAAAUCCUAUGCAGACAUUUGACUGAAAAUGUUAAAAACUCUAGAAAUAAUAAAUAACAACAACAGCGAGCAGCCAGAUAGAUUUACAUUACUCAUCGGUGUCACAAUGGUAACAGAAACACAUGUGGACAAAAUUGUUGGUACCCCUCGGUUAAUGGAAGAAAAACCCACAAUGGUCACAGAAAUAAUUUGAAUCUGACAAAAGUAAUAAUAAAUAAAAAUUAUAUGAAAAUGAACCAACGAAAAUCAGUCAUUUCUUUUGAACCGUGGUUCAACAGAAUUAUUUUAAAAAAUAAACUCAUGAAACUGGCCUGGACAAAAAUGAUCGUACCCCUAGAAAAGACUGAAAAUAAUGUGGCCAUAGGGACAUGUUCAAUCAAGGUGUGUCCUCUAAUUAGCAUCACAGGUGUCUACAAACUUGUAAUCAGUCAGUCGGCCUAUUUAUAGGGUUACAGUAGUCACUGUACUGUUUGUUGACAUGGUGUGUACCACACUAAACAUGGACCAGAGGAAGUCAAGGAGAGAGUUGUCUCAGGAGCUUAGAAAGAAAAUUAUAGACAAGCAUGUUAAAGGCUAUAAGACCAUCUCCAAGCAGCUUGAUGUUCCUGUGACUACAGUUGCACAUAUUAUUCAGAAAUGUAAGAUCCAUGGGACUGUAGCCAACCUCCCUGGACGUGGCCACAGGAGGAAAACUGAUGACAAAUGGAAGAGACGGAUAAUACGAAUGGUAACAAAAGAGCCCAGAACAACCUCUAAAGACAUUAAAGGUGAACUCCAAGGUCAAGGUACAUCAGUGUCAGAUCGCACCAUCCGUCGUUGUUUGAACCAAAGUGGACUUCAUGGGAGAUGACCAAGGAGGACACCAUUGUUGAAAACAAAUCAUAAAAAAGCCAGACUGGAAUUUGCCAAACUGCAUGUUGACAAGCCACAAAGCUUCUGGGAAAAUGUCCUAUGGACAGACGAGACAAAACUGGAACUUUUUGGCACAUCAGCUCUAUGUUCACAGACACAAAAAUGAAGCAUAUCAAGAAAAGAGUUUAAGUUUAGUGUUUUGCAAAUCACUGUGUGUAUUGUUCUGCAAAAAGUCUGAGGCUGACUGUGUUUAUAGUGGUGAAAAUCUGGAACAAUGUUUUGCUCCUUGAGUAUAAGGUGUUGAUAAUUAUGUUUGUGCAAUCAGAAAAAAAUGUAAAAUAAUUCUGUUAAACCACGAUUCAAAAGCAAUGUCUGAUUUUCAUUGGUUGAUUUUCAUGGAAUUUUUAUUUAUUAUUACUUUUGUCAGAUUCAAAUUAUUUCUGUGACCAUUGUGGGUUUUUCUUUCAUUAACUGAGGGGUACCAACAAUUUUCUCCAUGUGUGUAUAUGAGCGGCAGCCAUACAUUUGGGAAAAUCUAUUGCAAUCAAUGGUCAUGCUGAUGCAUGUCAGGGCUGGAUCAGACACACUAGGUCUUUCUUUCCAGAGAAAAUAUAGCUUGUGAUGUUGAUGAGGUCCUGUGGUCUGACCAGGCUGAAAGAAUUGAUGCAGACGUGCUGUAAAUAUUUGCAUACUGUGCUGUGUACAAUACAGUGCUGUAUUUUUUUUUGUCUAACAUCAUUUAUAUUUUAUAAUGUACAGUCAAGUACUGCAAUGGUCCCAUCUGAUUUAUUUAUAGGAUGCAUUAGUGUUUAAGUUGUCAUUUUUGAG